This 401-nucleotide ribosomal RNA is filed under the name uncultured bacterium. RNAcentral describes it as "bacterial SSU rRNA". It matches the Rfam family "Bacterial small subunit ribosomal RNA", at positions 355 to 773 of the family's 1533-position model. The record is from RNAcentral.
UGGGGAAUAUUGGACAAUGGGGGCAACCCUGAUCCAGCAAUGCCGCGUGUGUGAAGAAGGUCUUCGGAUCGUAAAGCACUUUCGACGGGGACGAUGAUGACGGUACCCGUAGAAGAAGCCCCGGCUAACUUCGUGCCAGCAGCCGCGGUAAUACGAAGGGGGCUAGCGUUGCUCGGAAUUACUGGGCGUAAAGGGCGCGUAGGCGGCUCUGUUAGUCAGGCGUGAAAUUCCUGGGCUUAACCUGGGGACUGCGCUUGAUACUGCAGGGCUUGAGGCCGAGAGAGGGUGGUGGAAUUCCCAGUGUAGAGGUGAAAUUCGUAGAUAUUGGGAAGAACACCGGUGGCGAAGGCGACCACCUGGCUCGGUACUGACGCUGAGGCGCGACAGCGUGGGGAGCAAAC